CCCGACUGCUAUCAGAGUGGGACUAAGCCAUGCGAGUCAACGUAGCAAUGCGUGGCGAACGGCUCAGUAACACGUAGUCAACAUGCCCAGGGGACGUGGAUAACCUCGGGAAACUGAGAUUAAACCGCGAUAGGUCAAGAUUUCUGGAAUGGAUCCUGGCUUAAAUCUACAUGGCCCCUGGAUUGGACUGCGGCCGAUCAGGCUGUUGGUGAGGUAAUGGCCCACCAAACCUAUAACCGGUACGGGCUCUGAGAGGAGAAGCCCGGAGAUGGGCACUGAGACAAGGGCCCAGGCCCUAUGGGGCGCAGCAGGCGCGAAACCUCUGCAAUAGGCGAAAGCCUGACAGGGUUACUCUGAGUGAUUUCCGCUAAGGGGAUCUUUUGGCACCUCUAAAAAUGGUGCAGAAUAAGGGGUGGGCAAGUCUGGUGU
RNAcentral lists this ribosomal RNA (429 nucleotides) under uncultured archaeon. RNAcentral describes it as "bacterial SSU rRNA". It matches the Rfam family "Archaeal small subunit ribosomal RNA", at positions 24 to 458 of the family's 1478-position model. The record is from RNAcentral.